This 484-nucleotide ribosomal RNA is filed under the name uncultured bacterium. Its description in RNAcentral is "bacterial SSU rRNA". It matches the Rfam family "Bacterial small subunit ribosomal RNA", at positions 30 to 507 of the family's 1533-position model. The record is from RNAcentral.
AUUGAACGCUGGCGGCAUGCCUUACACAUGCAAGUCGAACGGCAGGCACGGGAGCAAUCCUGGUGGCGAGUGGCGAACGGGUGAGUAAUAUAUCGGAACGUGCCCAGUCGUGGGGGAUAACGUAGCGAAAGCUACGCUAAUACCGCAUACGAUCUAUGGAUGAAANCGGGGAUCGCAAGACCUCGCGCGAUUGGAGCGGCCGAUAUCAGAUUAGGUAGUUGGUGAGGUAAAGGCUCACCAAGCCGACGAUCUGUAGCUGGUCUGAGAGGACGACCAGCCACACUGGGACUGAGACACGGCCCAGACUCCUACGGGAGGCAGCAGUGGGGAAUUUUGGACAAUGGGCGCAAGCCUGAUCCAGCAAUGCCGCGUGCAGGAUGAAGGCCUUCGGGUUGUAAACUGCUUUUGUACGGAACGAAACGGUGAGCUCUAAUACAGUUUGCUAAUGACGGUACCGUAAGAAUAAGCACCGGCUAACUACGUG